Molecule: long non-coding RNA, 253 nt
Filed under: Gossypium barbadense (sea-island cotton)
Lineage: Eukaryota; Viridiplantae; Streptophyta; Magnoliopsida; Malvales; Malvaceae
Description: long non-coding RNA (GBAR_LNC005184)
Source: RNAcentral
UAAACUUCUGGUUUACUUUAACAUGUGUUUUAAUUGUACUAAAUUGUAAAUUGAUAAUUUUAUUAUCAUUCCUUUUAAUUUGUAUGCACAUAUAAGUACUAUUGUGACAUUUACUACUGGAAAUGUCUAAAUCAAUGUGAAGUCUAUAAUGUCACCAAGUCAAUAAAUAUAAUUUUUAAAUAAUUAUAUGCAAUAUUCGCUUAAGAGAAUAUGUCAAAAUCUUCAAAUGCCCAAAAAUCUAUUAAUAGCAAAC